ACUCCUACGGGAGGCAGCAGUGGGGAAUAUUGGACAAUGGGCGCAAGCCUGAUCCAGCAAUGCCGCGUGGGUGAAGACGGCCUGCGGGUUGUAAAGCCCUUUAGGCGGGGAGGAACGACGGGACGCUAAUAUCGUUUCGAAGUGACGUUACCCGCGGAAUAAGCACCGGCUAACUCCGUGCCAGCAGCCGCGGUAAU
This 197-nucleotide ribosomal RNA is filed under the name uncultured bacterium. Its description in RNAcentral is "partial 16S ribosomal RNA". It matches the Rfam family "Bacterial small subunit ribosomal RNA", at positions 335 to 524 of the family's 1533-position model. The record is from RNAcentral.